UACAGAGGUCUCAAGCGUUGUUCGGAUUCAUUGGGCGUAAAGGGUGCGUAGGUGGCGCUGUAAGUCGGGUGUGAAAUUUCGGAGCUUAACUCCGAAACUGCAUUCGAUACUGCGGUGCUUGAGGACUGGAGAGGAGACUGGAAUUCAUGGUGUAGCAGUGAAAUGCGUAGAGAUCAUGAGGAACACCAGUGGCGAAGGCGGCUCACUGGCCCGGUACUGACGCUGAGGAGCGAAAGCGUGGGGAGCGAACAGG
This 253-nucleotide ribosomal RNA is filed under the name uncultured bacterium. Its description in RNAcentral is "partial 16S ribosomal RNA". It matches the Rfam family "Bacterial small subunit ribosomal RNA", at positions 524 to 776 of the family's 1533-position model. The record is from RNAcentral.